RNAcentral lists this ribosomal RNA (497 nucleotides) under uncultured bacterium. Its description in RNAcentral is "partial 16S ribosomal RNA". It matches the Rfam family "Bacterial small subunit ribosomal RNA", at positions 28 to 507 of the family's 1533-position model. The record is from RNAcentral.
GAUGAACGCUGGCGGCGUGCCUAAUACAUGCAAGUCGAGCGAACAGACGAGGAGCUUGCUCCUCUUACGUUAGCGGCGGACGGGUGAGUAACACGUGGAUAACCUACCUAUAAGACUGGGAUAACUUCGGGAAACCGGAGCUAAUACCGGAUAAUAUAUUGAACCGCAUGGUUCAAUAGUGAAAGACGGUUUUGCUGUCACUUAUAGAUGGAUCCGCGCCGCAUUAGCUAGUUGGUAAGGUAACGGCUUACCAAGGCGACGAUGCGUAGCCGACCUGAGAGGGUGAUCGGCCACACUGGAACUGAGACAAGGUCCAGACUCAUACGGGAGGCAGCAGUAGGGAAUCUUCAGCAAUGGGCGAAAGCCUGACGGAGCAACGCCGCGUGAGUGAUGAAGGUCUUCGGAUCGUAAAACUCUGUUAUUAGGGAAGAACAAAUGUGUAAGUAACUAUGCACGUCUUGACGGUACCUAAUCAGAAAGCCACGGCUAACUAAGUG